Long non-coding RNA from Myotis brandtii (Brandt's bat), 535 nucleotides. RefSeq lists it as uncharacterized. The record is from RefSeq and is a predicted model, not a curated record. The transcript is spliced from 4 exons. NCBI's taxonomy places the organism in Eukaryota, Metazoa, Chordata, Mammalia, Chiroptera, Vespertilionidae.
ACUGGUUUGGCGGCCUUGGGGAUGAGCUGGUCCAGUCUGUGCCCGGGAUCCACUCCCACGGGGACCAUGGCAUCUCAGCGCAGCUGCUGCUGCCUCUGCUUCUGGCCUAGACUCCUUGCGGACAAAGCCAGGUCCUUCUACCCUCCUGGGUCAUGGGCUGAUGCCAACCACUGAGCGACACUGGCCGGGCCUAGGCUAUAAGAUCCCUGUCAUUGAGAAUCUGGGUGCAACUUAGACCAGUUCGAUGUGAUCGACUUUUCUGACAAUGAAAUCCGGAAGCUGGACGGCUUCCCACUGCUGAGGAGACUGAAGACCCUCCUGGUGAACAACAACAGGAUCUGGGCGACCUGGACCCGCGGGCAGGCGUCGCUCAAGUCGCUGACCUCCCUGAGGUAGGAGACGCCCUGUGACAGUGAGUCCUUCACAGUAACCCCUGCCCGGCCUGGACCUUAACACCCCGUGAGGACAGAGGAAUGCUGCAUGGGCACGAACUGGAAAAGCUCUGGCUGGUGUGGUUCCGUGGUUAGAGCAUCGA